RNAcentral lists this ribosomal RNA (464 nucleotides) under uncultured bacterium. Its description in RNAcentral is "partial 16S ribosomal RNA". It matches the Rfam family "Bacterial small subunit ribosomal RNA", at positions 28 to 504 of the family's 1533-position model. The record is from RNAcentral.
GACGAACGCUGGCGGCGUGCUUAACACAUGCAAGUCGAACGGAAAGGCCUCUUUCGGGGGGUACUCGAGUGGCGAACGGGUGAGUAACACGUGAGUAACCUGCCCUUGACUUUGGGAUAACUUCAGGAAACUGGGGCUAAUACCGGAUAGGAGCUCCUGCUGCAUGGUGGGGGUUGGAAAGUUUCGGCGGUUGGGGAUGGACUCGCGGCUUAUCAGCUUGUUGGUGGGGUAGUGGCUUACCAAGGCUUUGACGGGUAGCCGGCCUGAGAGGGUGACCGGCCACAUUGGGACUGAGAUACGGCCCAGACUCCUACGGGAGGCAGCAGUGGGGAAUAUUGCACAAUGGGUGGAAGCCUGAUGCAGCAACGCCGUGUGCGGGAUGACGGCCUUCGGGGUGUAAACCGCUUUCGCUCAUGACGAAGCUUUGUGUGACGGUAGUGGGUAAAGAAGCACCGGCUAACUAC